AACCAGCCGUGGAGGCCACACGAGUGAGAAUGCAGGCAUGAGUAGCGAAAGACGGGUGAGAAACCCGUCCUCCGAAAGACCAAGGGUUCCAGGGCCAGGUUAAUCCGCCCUGGGUAAGUCGGGACCUAAGGCGAGGCCGACAGGCGUAGUCGAUGGACAACGGGUUGAUAUUCCCGUACCGGCGAAGAACCGCCCAAGCUAAUCCAGUGGUGCUAAGAGUCCUAACCCGGCUGAGUGGAUCCCUUCGGGGUGAUGCCGGCCGGUCUAACGCUCGACCCCAUGCUGGUGCGGUUAACGUAUUAACAGGUGUGACGCAGGAAGGUAGCUGAGCCAGGCGAUGGUAUCCGUAAGGUGAACCUGGUGUAAGGAUGUAGGGCUGACGAUAGGCAAAUCCGUCGUCAAUGCGCCUGAGAUCCGAUGCGUACCCCGAUUGGGGGAAAUCAGUGAUCCUAUGCUGCCGAGAAAAGCAUCGACGUGAGGUUCAAGCCGCCCGUACCCCAAACCGACUCAGGUGGUCAGGUAGAGAAUACCAAGGAGAUCGAGAGAAUCGUGGUUAAGGAACUCGGCAAAAUGCCCCCGUAACUUCGGGAGAAGGGGGGCCGGAACCGUGAUGGGAUUUACUCCCGGAGCGGGAAAGGCCGCAGAGACCAGUGGGAAGCGACUGUUUACUAAAAACACAGGUCCGUGCCAAGUCGCAAGACGAUGUAUACGGACUGACGCCUGCCCGGUGCUGGAAGGUUAAGAGGAACGGUUAGCGCAAGCGAAGCUGAGAAUUUAAGCCCCAGUAAACGGCGGUGGUAACUAUAACCAUCCUAAGGUAGCGAAAUUCCUUGUCGGGUAAGUUCCGACCUGCACGAAUGGCGUAACGACUUCCCAGCUGUCUCAACCGCGAACUCGGCGAAAUUGCACUACGAGUAAAGAUGCUCGUUACGCGCAGCAGGACGGAAAGACCCCGUGACCUUUACUACAGCUUGGUAUUGGUGUUCGGAGUGGCUUGUGUAGGAUAGGUGGGAGACUGUGAAGCUUGGACGCUAGUUCAGGUGGAGUCAUUGUUGAAAUACCACUCUGGUCACUUUGGAUAUCUAACUACGAACCGUGAUCCGGUUCUGGGACAGUGCCUGGUGGGUAGUUUAACUGGGGCGGUUGCCUCCCAAAAAGUAACGGAGGCGCCCAAAGGUUCCCUCAACCUGGUUGGCAAUCAGGUGUCGAGUGUAAGUGCACAAGGGAGCUUGACUGUGAGACUGACAAGUCGAGCAGGGACGAAAGUCGGGACUAGUGAUCCGGCAGUGGCUUGUGGAAGCGCUGUCGCUCAACGGAUAAAAGGUACCUCGGGGAUAACAGGCUGAUCUUGCCCAAGAGUCCAUAUCGACGGCAUGGUUUGGCACCUCGAUGUCGGCUCGUCGCAUCCUGGGGCUGGAGUAGGUCCCAAGGGUUGGGCUGUUCGCCCAUUAAAGCGGUACGCGAGCUGGGUUUAGAACGUCGUGAGACAGUUCGGUCCCUAUCCGCUGCGCGCGUAGGAAAUUUGAGAAGAUCUAUCCCUAGUACGAGAGGACCGGGAUGGACGAACCUCUGGUGUGUCAGUUGUCCUGCCAAGGGCACCGCUGAUUAGCUACGUUCGGAACGGAUAACCGCUGAAAGCAUCUAAGCGGGAAGCCGGCUUCGAGAUGAGAUUUCCAUACCCUUAGGGGUGAGAGGCUCCCAGCUAGACUACUGGGUUGAUAGGCCGGAUGUGGAAGUGGGGACUAACGACCCAUGGAGCUGACCGGUACUAAUAAGCCGAUAACUUGACAACACUCCCUC
Molecule: ribosomal RNA, 1800 nt
Filed under: Frigoribacterium sp. MEB024
Lineage: Bacteria; Bacillati; Actinomycetota; Actinomycetes; Micrococcales; Microbacteriaceae
Description: bacterial LSU rRNA
Rfam family: Bacterial large subunit ribosomal RNA
Source: RNAcentral